This 231-nucleotide ribosomal RNA is filed under the name uncultured bacterium. RNAcentral's name for it is "partial 16S ribosomal RNA". It matches the Rfam family "Bacterial small subunit ribosomal RNA", at positions 15 to 244 of the family's 1533-position model. The record is from RNAcentral.
GAUCUGGCUCAGGAUGAACGCUGGCGGCGUGCUUAACACAUGCAAGUCGAGCGAUGAAGUUUCCUUCGGGAAACGGAUUAGCGGCGGACGGGUGAGUAACACGUGGGUAACCUGCCUCAUAGAGUGGAAUAGCCUUCCGAAAGGAAGAUUAAUACCGCAUAACGUUGAAAGAUGGCAUCAUCAUUCAACCAAAGGAGCAAUCCGCUAUGAGAUGGACCCGCGGCGCAUUAG